GUACUCACUUCAGUAGUACAUAUGUAAAAAUUGGAACAAUAUAGAUAUUGUUAGCCUGGCCCCUGCCCAAGAAUAACAUAAAAGUUCAUGAAGUGAUCUGUGUUUUG
This is a small nuclear RNA of Heterocephalus glaber (naked mole-rat), 107 nucleotides long. The record is from Ensembl. Lineage: Eukaryota; Metazoa; Chordata; Mammalia; Rodentia; Bathyergidae.